This 166-nucleotide unclassified non-coding RNA is filed under the name soil metagenome. RNAcentral describes it as "partial contains 5.8S ribosomal RNA, internal transcribed spacer 2, and large subunit ribosomal RNA". The record is from RNAcentral.
AACGCACGAGACCUGCGGACCUGCGGAGGGAUCAUUAGUGAACGCCCUCACGGGCUUAUAACUAUUCCAAACCUCUGUGAACCGUGCCCUUCGGGGCUAUUUUACAAACAUGGUGUAAUGAGCGUCAUAUAUCAUAACAAAACAAAACUUUUAACAAUGGAUCUCU